GACGAACGCUGGCGGCGUGCCUAAUACAUGCCAGUAGAACGCUGAAGAGAGGAGCUUCCUCUUCUUGGAUGAGUUGCGAACGGGUGAGUAGCGCGUAGGUAACCUGCCUUGUAGCGGGGGAUAACUAUUGGAAACGAUAGCUAAUACCGCAUAACAAUGGAUGACACAUGUCAUUUAUUUGAAAGGGGCAAUUGCUCCACUACAAGAUGGACCUGCGUUGUAUUAGCUAGUAGGUGAGGUAAUGGCUCACCUAGGCGACGAUACAUAGCCGACCUGAGAGGGUGAUCGGCCACACUGGGACUGAGACACGGCCCAGACUCCUACGGGAGGCAGCAGUAGGGAAUCUUCGGCAAUGGGGGCAACCCUGACCGAGCAACGCCGCGUGAGUGAAGAAGGUUUUCGGAUCGUAAAGCUCUGUUGUAAGUCAAGAACGGGUGUGAGAGUGGAAAGUUCACACUGUGACGGUAGCUUACCAGAAAGGGACGGCUAACUACGUG
Molecule: ribosomal RNA, 497 nt
Filed under: uncultured bacterium
Lineage: Bacteria
Description: partial 16S ribosomal RNA
Rfam family: Bacterial small subunit ribosomal RNA
Source: RNAcentral